AGCCCUAGCUGCUGUUCCCCAUUCGAUGCCCCUUUUCAGCCGACCUUGCCAGGGGCAGUCCAUGAAAGUUGAAUAUGAUCUCCUUGAAACUUAGCCUCGAGGUCUACAAUUUUACCAGGUGAGAACACCUGAGAAUGAUUACCAUUAGGAGGCACUCCUGAUACAGUAAACGACCCUCCAGAGAAAUUGAUUAAGAAAACUUAGAGAACAUAAAAUAAUAGACCUACCUCUGCAAUACCUGGUAUUCGAAGACGGGCAGACCGAAUAUUUAGUUCACCUUCUUGAAAAUCUGAGCCAACUGGACUCCAAGUGCCACGAGAACAGAGAUUGGGUCUGGUCCCCAGCUUCAGUGCCUCCAAGGCAGAAACUCAAGAGACGUUGUUGAACUGUCAGCCUUUACAUUUAUGCAUUACUAUUGAAGGCCUGGAAUAAAUGGAUCGUGUUUUACCUGUUAUCUUGCUCAUCUCUAUUACUGCUUCAUCAGCAGCUCUUCCCAAAGCAAUAAAAUGAACAAUGGCCCCA
Long non-coding RNA from Homo sapiens (human), 522 nucleotides. Ensembl annotates it as CLCA4 antisense RNA 1. Its record names the gene CLCA4-AS1. NCBI's taxonomy places the organism in Eukaryota, Metazoa, Chordata, Mammalia, Primates, Hominidae. The record is from Ensembl.